Molecule: ribosomal RNA, 440 nt
Filed under: uncultured bacterium
Lineage: Bacteria
Description: partial 16S ribosomal RNA
Rfam family: Bacterial small subunit ribosomal RNA
Source: RNAcentral
CCUACGGGAGGCAGCAGUGGGGAAUAUUGCACAAUGGGGGAAACCCUGAUGCAGCGACGCCGCGUGAGUGAAGAAGUAAUUCGUUAUGUAAAGCUCUAUCAGCAGGGAAGAAAAUGACGGUACCUGAGUAAGAAGCCCCGGCUAACUACGUGCCAGCAGCCGCGGUAAUACGUAGGGGGCAAGCGUCAUCCGGAUUUACUGGGUGUAAAGGGAGCGUAGACGGCAGUGCAAGUCUGGAGUGAAAGGCGGGGGCUCAACCUCCGGACUGCUCUGGAAACUGUACGGCUGGAGUGCAGGAGGGGUAAAUGGAAUUCCUAGUGUAGCGGUGGAAUGCGUAGAUAUUAGGAGGAACACCAGUGGCGAAGGCGGCUUGCUGGACUGUAACUGACGUUGAGGCACGAAAGCGUGGGGAGCAAACAGGAUUAGAUACCCCAGUAGUC